This 253-nucleotide ribosomal RNA is filed under the name uncultured bacterium. RNAcentral describes it as "partial 16S ribosomal RNA". It matches the Rfam family "Bacterial small subunit ribosomal RNA", at positions 524 to 776 of the family's 1533-position model. The record is from RNAcentral.
UACAGAGGUGGCAAGCGUUGUUCGGAAUUACUGGGCGUAAAGGGCGAGUAGGCGGCUUGUCGCGUCGGAUGUGAAAGCCCGGGGCUUAACUCCGGGUCUGCAUUCGAUACGGGCAGGCUAGAGUGUGGUAGGGGAGACUGGAAUUCCUGGUGUAGCGGUGAAAUGCGCAGAUAUCAGGAGGAACACCGGUGGCGAAGGCGGGUCUCUGGGCCGAUACUGACGCUGAGGAGCGAAAGCGUGGGGAGCGAACAGG